Aedes albopictus (Asian tiger mosquito) is the source of this 73-nucleotide non-coding RNA. The record is from Rfam. NCBI's taxonomy places the organism in Eukaryota, Metazoa, Arthropoda, Insecta, Diptera, Culicidae.
GUCCAGUUAGCCUAGUGGUUAAGGCUAUGGACCACCAAUCUGGAGACGGCGGGUUCGAUUCCCGUUUCGGCCG